GAUUCUGGCUCAGGACGAACGCUGGCGGCGUGCCUAACACAUGCAAGUCGAGCGAGGAGAUCCUUCGGGAUGAUCCUAGCGGCGGACGGGUGAGUAACACGUGGGCAACCUGCCUCAUAGAGAGGAAUAGCCUUCCGAAAGGGAGAUUAAUACCUCAUAACAUUGCAGUUUCGCAUGGAACAGCAAUUAAAGGAGUAAUCCGCUAUGAGAUGGGCCCGCGGCGCAUUAGCUAGUUGGUGAGGUAACGGCUCACCAAGGCGACGAUGCGUAGCCGACCUGAGAGGGUGAUCGGCCACAUUGGGACUGAGACACGGCCCAGACUCCUACGGGAGGCAGCAGUGGGGAAUAUUGCACAAUGGGGGAAACCCUGAUGCCAGCAACGCCGCGUGAGUGAUGACGGCCUUCGGGUUGUAAAGCUCUGUCUUCAGGGACGAUAAUGACGGUACCUGAGGAGGAAGCCACGGCUAACUACGUGCCAGCCGCCGC
Molecule: ribosomal RNA, 486 nt
Filed under: uncultured bacterium
Lineage: Bacteria
Description: bacterial SSU rRNA
Rfam family: Bacterial small subunit ribosomal RNA
Source: RNAcentral